CUCCUGCUGUAUUUUCCCAAGUGCUCAGUACAGGGUUCUGCACACGGCAAGUGUUCAAUAAGCACAAUUAAUUGAUUGGGAUCCCCGUUCAUCUCCAGGACGUUAUCUGGCCCGCAAGGUCGGACUGAAGACUGACUCUCCCACGACAGACUUCUCCACCAUCCUCCCGGUGGUUUUCGUAUCCUCAGACCACCUCCUGUGAAUUCAGCAGGGGAAGUAAGGACCUCGAUCGAUCGACGCGUUCAUUAGGCACUUAAUACGUGCCGAGCACUGUACUACAGCGUUUGAGACCGUACAGAAUCCGGGUUCUCGUCCUGGCUCCACCACUUGCCUGAGGACGCGGCCACAUGCGCGUCUGUGAAACGGGAACACAGAUCAACGCUCAACUCGACGUCAAGGGAGGUGGAUGUUGUCUGCUCUGGUUAUCUUGUCUCCAUCCCCAGCACCGCACACAACCCGUGUUCGAGACAAAGAAAGCGGUGCCCGGAGAGGAGACCUCCAAUUAGAGGGCAGUGUGCACAUCUAGGGCUUGGACUUCAUUCAUUUGGAUAAAAUAGGAAACAAAAAUCUCAUCAGAGAACCUUCUACUGAGAAAAGAAGGGGUUUUAGGGAACUCUUGAUGCUCUCCAUUUCAAACCGAAGUAAGCGUGGGAAGGAUUAAAUGUUCGGCUCUGCUUUUUUUGCUUGUUGUGGGCAUUGUAAAGCCAUCGUCCCUUUAAACGUCAUCACAAUCAUGAAAAAUCCCCCAUUUAGGACACACUUUCCUCAAAGGGUGUAACGUAGGCUAGUGAAAAGAGCACAGGACUGUGAGUCAGAUCUGGGUUCUCGUCCCGGCUCUGCCGCUUGCUGAUCCCGCAGGAGGUUAAGAAGUUUCUGGAGAGUCAUGAGAGAAGAAAUACUGGUGGUAGAAGAAUUUAUUGAGCAUCGCCUUGAUGUGGAGCAGCAUACUGGAUGCUUGGCAAGUUCAGAAUAAAGACCUGACGCCUCUUCCGAUCGCAGAGAGACACAUACGUGGCGUUAUAUACAACUAGAGCGGACAAAAUGAUUCAGUACACACAUACACAUCAUCUAUUAUUAAGGGCCUUUAUCAUCGAAGAUAAUUUCCUUGAUUAAGUCCUAUUUUCCCCAACUUACUCUCCCUAAUCUGUGCACUUGGAUUUCUGACCUUCGGACAUUUCAUGUUCAUCCCAACCUCACGGAACCUUUGGACGUAUCUUGGAAUCUGAUUUAUUCGCAUAAAUGUGCGUCUCCUCCUCUAGACUGUCAGCUCACUGCGGUUAGGGAACGUGCCUGCCGAUCCCGCUGCCUUAUACUCCCCCAAGCAAUUAGUACAGUGCUCUGCACAAGGUAAUCGCUCUCUAAAUAUCGACCGAUUGAUCGAUAUGCCUCAGUCCUAAAGACGGAUAUGUGACCCGGCGAAAAAAGCC
RNAcentral lists this long non-coding RNA (1427 nucleotides) under Ornithorhynchus anatinus (platypus). RNAcentral's name for it is "lncRNA (ENSOANG00000041240.1)". The record is from RNAcentral. Lineage: Eukaryota; Metazoa; Chordata; Mammalia; Monotremata; Ornithorhynchidae.